RNAcentral lists this transfer RNA (77 nucleotides) under Chitinophaga niabensis. Its description in RNAcentral is "tRNA_Arg_ACG". It matches the Rfam family "tRNA". From Rfam's summary of the family: Transfer RNA (tRNA) molecules are approximately 80 nucleotides in length. Their secondary structure includes four short double-helical elements and three loops (D, anti-codon, and T loops). Further hydrogen bonds mediate the characteristic L-shaped molecular structure. tRNAs have two regions of fundamental functional importance: the anti-codon, which is responsible for specific mRNA codon recognition, and the 3' end, to which the tRNAs corresponding amino acid is attached (by aminoacyl-tRNA synthetases). tRNAs cope with the degeneracy of the genetic code in two manners: having more than one tRNA (with a specific anti-codon) for a particular amino acid; and 'wobble' base-pairing, i.e. permitting non-standard base-pairing at the 3rd anti-codon position. The record is from RNAcentral. Lineage: Bacteria; Pseudomonadati; Bacteroidota; Chitinophagia; Chitinophagales; Chitinophagaceae. RNAcentral also lists the same sequence under 1 other name.
GGCUCUGUAGCUCAACUGAAUAGAGCAUCUCACUACGGAUGAGAAGGUUUCAGGUUUGAAUCCUGACAGGGUCACAA